This 482-nucleotide ribosomal RNA is filed under the name uncultured bacterium. RNAcentral describes it as "partial 16S ribosomal RNA". It matches the Rfam family "Bacterial small subunit ribosomal RNA", at positions 29 to 523 of the family's 1533-position model. The record is from RNAcentral.
AGUGAACGUUGGCGGCGUGGAUUAGGCAUGCAAGUCGAGCGAGAACCGUAGCAAUACGGGGACAGCGGCGAACGGGACAGUAAUGUGUAGGUACCUACCCCUGGGUUCGGGAUAGCUGCGGGAAACUGCAGGUAAUACCGGAUAACGUCUGAGGACCAAAGGUGUGAUUCCACCUGGGGAGGGGCCUGCAUCCUAUUAGCUAGUUGGUGAGGUAACGGCCCACCAAGGCUGAGAUGGGUACGAGGUGUGAGAGCACGACCUCGCUCACUGGGACUGAGACACUGCCCAGACACCUACGGGUGGCUGCAGUCGAGAAGCUUCGGCAAUGGGCGCAAGCCUGACCGAGCGACGCCGCGUGCGGGAUGAAGGCCUUCGGGUUGUAAACCGCUGUCAGUGUGGAGGAAAUGCCUAGGGGUAAUCUCCUAGGUUUGACCUAUACGCAGAGGAAGGAUGGGCUAAGUUCGUGCCAGCAGCCGCCGUAA